GACGAACGCUGGCGGCGUGCUUAACACAUGCAAGUCGAACGAAGAGCGAUGGAAGCUUGCUUCUAUCACUCUUAGUGGCGAACGGGUGAGUAACGCGUAAUCAACCUGCCCUUCAGAGGGGGACAACAGUUGGAAACGACUGCUAAUACCGCAUACGAUCUAACCUCGGCAUCGAGGAUAGAUGAAAGGUGGCCUCUACAUGUAAGCUAUCACUGAAGGAGGGGAUUGCGUCUGAUUAGCUAGUUGGAGGGGUAACGGGCCACCAAGGCGAUGAUCAGUAGCCGGUCUGAGAGGAUGAACGGCCACAUUGGGACUGAGACACGGCCCAGACUCCUACGGGAGGCAGCAGUGGGGAAUCUUCCGCAAUGGACGAAAGUCUGACGGAGCAACGCCGCGUGAGUGAUGACGGCCUUCGGGUUGUAAAGCUCUGUUAAUCGGGACGAAAGGCCUUCUUGCGAAUAGUUAGAAGGAUUGACGGUACCGGAAUAGAAAGCCACGGCUAACUACGUG
RNAcentral lists this ribosomal RNA (510 nucleotides) under uncultured bacterium. RNAcentral describes it as "partial 16S ribosomal RNA". It matches the Rfam family "Bacterial small subunit ribosomal RNA", at positions 28 to 507 of the family's 1533-position model. The record is from RNAcentral.